This 1308-nucleotide ribosomal RNA is filed under the name Triticum aestivum (bread wheat). RNAcentral describes it as "partial small subunit ribosomal RNA". Lineage: Eukaryota; Viridiplantae; Streptophyta; Magnoliopsida; Poales; Poaceae. The record is from RNAcentral.
AUGCCUGGCACCCACUCAGAGGACGCGGAGAGCUCCGACCGGGGCGGCCGGCAACGGCGCAUCUGGAUCUGGAUCGGAGCCAGCGGACGGCAGCGGGCGCGAGGCGCGCGACGGUGCUACGGGGCAGGAUGCGAGGGGGGCGACGACAGAUGGCUUGAAUGGUGGAGGUGGCAGCGGCGGCGUAUGCGCGAGCGUCGCGAGAGCGGGUGCCAUGGUCACUCACUGACGGAGAACCACGAAACUUUCAGCCUGAGCACCGAUCCCCUUUUCUCUACCUCCGGCGCCCAAGUUCGCUGCCGCCUCCGCCGUCUUCUCGCGCCGCCGGCCACCUACUCGAGCUCCUCUCCCGAUCCUCCGGCGGUCUGCCUGCAAGUUUGCAACACUUCCCAAGGAAUCACUGUAUUUUUGGUGGAUCAACCUCAUCAAGUUUGCCUCAUGGCAGCCAUACUGGGUUCUCUUGUUGGAUCAUGUGCCAAAAAAUUGCAAGAAGUUAUUACAGAAGAGGCUGUUCUGAUUCUAGGGGUAAAAGAAGACCUCAGAGAACUGCAGCGGAUAAUGAUCCAAAUACGAUGCUUCCUUAAUGAUGCUGAGGCAAGGAGGACAGAAGAGACAUCAGUUAACAAUUGGCUUGGGGAGCUAAGAGAUGCUAUGUAUUAUGCUGAUGAUAUUAUUGACCUGGCAAGAUCUGAAGGAGAAGUUCGGACUCUGAAGCAUAUGGGAACUAGUCACCUUGUGGAGCCUAAUCUUGUGGGAAAGCACACUUUACGUGUCAUCAGGGAUUUGCACAACUGGGAGGAUUGGUCCUUUAUUGAAGAUGCAGCAGGAGCAGCAGCCAUAGAAGAGUGUGGGGAUAUAUAUGCCGAGAUGCGAAAAGGGGAAGCCCUGUCUCCAAGGUUGCAUCUGCUGCCCCGGUUGAAGAAGAUGGAACUUGGGGGCUGCCACAAGCUGAGGGCUCUCCCACGACAGCUUGGACGACAACAUGCCACCAGCUUGAAAGAGCUCCAUUUAAGAGGAGCAAGUUGCUUGAAGGUGGAGGAGGACCUCCAGUUCCUCUCUGAGAAACUUCUGAUUAGCAGCACCGCGAGCUUCACGGCGAAGACAUGGAUGUCUGCACGUGGUGUAAAGGCUGAGACAAACCCAGUGAGAUGGCAACAGAGACACGUCAAUCCAGGUCAAUGUAGAGAACGUUCUUCAACUUCUAUACUGAUAUUGAUCGACAGCGUUUCUAUGCAGUUGCUCCAUCACUUGCUUACUGCUUUCCUCCUUAAAGCAAGCCACUCGCUGCUGCUAUUUUGCACCUCACAGUAG